RNAcentral lists this ribosomal RNA (253 nucleotides) under uncultured bacterium. RNAcentral describes it as "partial 16S ribosomal RNA". It matches the Rfam family "Bacterial small subunit ribosomal RNA", at positions 524 to 776 of the family's 1533-position model. The record is from RNAcentral.
UACGGGGGAUGCAAGCGUUAUCCGGAAUUAUUGGGCGUAAAGGGUCCUGAGGUGGCUAGCCAAGUCUAUUGUGAAAUAUCAGGGCUUAACCCUGAACAUGCGGUGGAAACUAGAAAGCUUGAGUACAGUAGGGGCGGAGGGAAUUUCCGGUGGAGCGGUGAAAUGCGUAGAGAUCGGAAAGAACACCAACGGCGAAAGCACUCUGCUGGGCCGACACUGACACUGAGACGCGAAAGCGUGGGGAGCGAACAGG